This 64-nucleotide transfer RNA is filed under the name Analcellicampa xanthosoma. Its description in RNAcentral is "tRNA-Ala". The record is from RNAcentral. Lineage: Eukaryota; Metazoa; Arthropoda; Insecta; Hymenoptera; Tenthredinidae.
AGGAUAAUAGUUAAAAAUAACGUUUGAUUUGCAUUCAAAAAUUAUUAAAUAUUAAUUUAAUUUA